This 750-nucleotide ribosomal RNA is filed under the name uncultured bacterium. Its description in RNAcentral is "bacterial SSU rRNA". It matches the Rfam family "Bacterial small subunit ribosomal RNA", at positions 41 to 753 of the family's 1533-position model. The record is from RNAcentral.
AGGGAGGCUAAACUGCAAGUCGAGCGAGCUUGCCUAGAUGAUUUUAGUGCUUGCACUAAAUGAAACUAGAUACAAGCCAGUGGCGGACGGGUGAGUAACACGUGGGUAACCUGCCCAAGAGACUGGGAUAACACCUGGAAACAGAUGCUAAUACCGGAUAACAACACUAGACGCAUGUCUAGAGUUUGAAAGAUGGUUCUGCUAUCACUCUUGGAUGGACCUGCGGUGCAUUAGCUAGUUGGUAAGGUAACGGCUUACCAAGGCAAUGAUGCAUAGCCGAGUUGAGAGACUGAUCGGCCACAUUGGGACUGAGACACGGCCCAAACUCCUACGGGAGGCAGCAGUAGGGAAUCUUCCACAAUGGACGAAAGUCUGAUGGAGCAACGCCGCGUGAGUGAAGAAGGGUUUCGGCUCGUAAAGCUCUGUUGGUAGUGAAGAAAGAUAGAGGUAGUAACUGGCCUUUAUUUGACGGUAAUUACUUAGAAAGUCACGGCUAACUACGUGCCAGCAGCCGCGGUAAUACGUAGGUGGCAAGCGUUGUCCGGAUUUAUUGGGCGUAAAGCGAGUGCAGGCGGUUCAAUAAGUCUGAUGUGAAAGCCUUCGGCUCAACCGGAGAAUUGCAUCAGAAACUGUUGAACUUGAGUGCAGAAGAGGAGAGUGGAACUCCAUGUGUAGCGGUGGAAUGCGUAGAUAUAUGGAAGAACACCAGUGGCGAAGGCGGCUCUCUGGUCUGCAACGGACGCUGAGGCU